GACGAACGCUGGCGGCGUGCUUAACACAUGCAAGUCGAACGGAAAGGCCCUGCUUUUGUGGGGUGCUCGAGUGGCGAACGGGUGAGUAACACGUGAGUAACCUGCCCUUGACUUUGGGAUAUCUUCAGGAAACUGGGGCUAAUACCGGAUAGGAGCUCCUGCUGCACGGUGGUGGUUGGAAAGUUUCGGCUGUUGGGGAUGGACUCGCGGCUUAUCGGCUUGUUGGUGGGGUAGUGGCUUCCCCAGGCUUUGACGGAUAGCCGGCCUGGGAGGGGGACCGGGCACAUGGGGACUGAGGGAGGGAGCAGACGGGAACGGGAGGCAGCAGUGGAGAGUAUGGCACAGUGAGGGGACGCGUGAUGCAGAGGCGCCGGGUGCGUGAUGACGGCCUUCGGGUGAUAAACCGCUUUCGCCUGAGACGAAGCGUGAGUGACGGUAAUGGGUAAAGAAGCACCGGCUAACUACGUG
RNAcentral lists this ribosomal RNA (468 nucleotides) under uncultured bacterium. RNAcentral's name for it is "partial 16S ribosomal RNA". It matches the Rfam family "Bacterial small subunit ribosomal RNA", at positions 28 to 507 of the family's 1533-position model. The record is from RNAcentral.